Triticum aestivum (bread wheat) is the source of this 1093-nucleotide long non-coding RNA. RefSeq lists it as uncharacterized. The transcript is spliced from 3 exons. Lineage: Eukaryota; Viridiplantae; Streptophyta; Magnoliopsida; Poales; Poaceae. The record is from RefSeq and is a predicted model, not a curated record.
CUAGGCUAUGCCUCUUCCUCUCAUCUGUUGCUCAGUUUUUGCCGUGUGCUGGUACUCACUUGUCUUGGUGUGAACUAAAGAAGAGCACAAGCAGUUUGUGAACCUAACCUUCCAGAAUCUUACAUUUUUAAGAAGUUGCUCCCCACUACAAGUCAUUCUCUCUACAUGCAGAUAGUCCACCUCAGCAUGCAUGACAUGUCAUCAUUCAGUUACAAAUAGCUAUCUGCUCUUGUCAUUUUUUUCCUCUCCUGAAACAUCUGUUCCAGACUUCCCGUCUUCUCCACGGCAGCACCUCUAAUCUUCUCCAUGCUAAUUACUCUCCCACCCAUUAAUUUCCCUCUUCCUAUUUAUCGUUUCCACCAAAUCUUACUCCUCAUCCUCUCAUAUAUUGUUUCCAUAAUCUUCUCCAUGGUCCCCGGUCGGUCUGGCCUCACCAAGAAAAGGUGCGAGAGGAGUAGGUCGGGAGGAUUCCAGGCGAGCAAUUGUUCUUGAUGCACGGUUCCUGGAGGCAGCGACGGGCCAGCACCCUUCACCCCCUCCCGUAUUAACAGGUUGCGGCGGCUCAGCGGGCCGGCGGCUACUUCAGCGCAAGCUGGAGGCAACAACGGGUGAGGCGGCAAGGCGGCGACCAGGGAUCAGACGGCAAGCCGGAGGCUACAGGGCGACGAUUCACAACAGGGAAGGAGGGAUUGAUGCACCAAAGAACAGAUGAAGACACUGAAGAGCAGGACAAGGGAUGCAACAGGAAGGAGUAGGUCGUCGUCAAGGGAUCACGCCCAGUGCACGCGGCAAUGAUGGCCUCCAUGGUUGGAGGGCAACCGAUGGCCAUACCAUAAAAGCACGCUAAUGCGUGCCCGGGUGUAUACAUGUAUCCAUCUAUUGUGCGGCGGGAUGAACUCUAGUGCUAGGCCCCUUUCGCUCCCUCGCUGCAGCAUCAACACAUCUUCAUAUGUUAGUCUGUUUUCAUUCACAUUAUUCCUUCUGCAUGCAAUGUAAGUAUGCAAAUUGAUUAAGGGCAAGAAUCAAACAAAGGGUUGUGCGUGUGUUUAAUUCUACCGACCACUCCUAUUUUGUUUCACCAAAUUAGCAAGUA